GACCGCUCCGGUGGUCUAGUGGUUAGACCGUCCGCCUCUGAUGCAGGAGGUCUUGGGUUUGAUCAUCGGCCGAGUCA
This is a non-coding RNA of Potamilus streckersoni, 77 nucleotides long. Lineage: Eukaryota; Metazoa; Mollusca; Bivalvia; Unionida; Unionidae. The record is from the annotation of a GenBank genome assembly.